RNAcentral lists this ribosomal RNA (451 nucleotides) under uncultured organism. RNAcentral's name for it is "partial 16S ribosomal RNA". It matches the Rfam family "Bacterial small subunit ribosomal RNA", at positions 330 to 797 of the family's 1533-position model. The record is from RNAcentral.
CGUACACUCCUGCGGGAGGCAGCAGUGGGGAAUAUUGGACAAUGGGCGCAAGCCUGAUCCAGCCAUGCCGCGUGAGUGAUGAAGGCCCUAGGGUUGUAAAGCUCUUUCACCGGAGAAGAUAAUGACGGUAUCCGGAGAAGAAGCCCCGGCUAACUUCGUGCCAGCAGCCGCGGUAAUACGAAGGGGGCUAGCGUUGUUCGGAAUUACUGGGCGUAAAUCGCACGUAGGCGGAUCGAUCAGUCAGGGGUGAAAUCCCAGGGCUCAACCCUGGAACUGCCUUUGAUACUGUCGAUCUGGAGUAUGGAAGAGGUGAGUGGAAUUCCGAGUGUAGAGGUGAAAUUCGUAGAUAUUCGGAGGAACACCAGUGGCGAAGGCGGCUCACUGGUCCAUUACUGACGCUGAGGUGCGAAAGCGUGGGGAGCAAACAGGAUUAGAUACCCGUGUAGUCCCA